UACGUAGGGUGCAAGCGUUGUCCGGAAUUAUUGGGCGUAAAGAGCUCGUAGGCGGUUUGUCGCGUCGAAUGUGAAAACCCGGGGCUCAACCCCGGGCCUGCAUUGGGUACGGGCAGACUAGAGUGCGGUAGGGGAGACUGGAAUUCCUGGUGUAGCGGUGAAAUGCGCAGAUAUCAGGAGGAACACCGGUGGCGAAGGCGGGUCUCUGGGCCGUAACUGACGCUGAGGAGCGAAAGCGUGGGGAGCGAACAGG
This 253-nucleotide ribosomal RNA is filed under the name uncultured bacterium. RNAcentral's name for it is "partial 16S ribosomal RNA". It matches the Rfam family "Bacterial small subunit ribosomal RNA", at positions 524 to 776 of the family's 1533-position model. The record is from RNAcentral.